RNAcentral lists this long non-coding RNA (1723 nucleotides) under Salvia miltiorrhiza (redroot sage). Its description in RNAcentral is "long non-coding RNA (SMIL_LNC012384)". The record is from RNAcentral. Lineage: Eukaryota; Viridiplantae; Streptophyta; Magnoliopsida; Lamiales; Lamiaceae.
UAUAAAAAUUGAAUUAUACGUAUUUGAAUAUUGAGUGGGACCCAAAUUGGACCUUGGUUGAGUUAAAAGGGAGGAAAAACAAAAAGAAAAUGAAAAUGGAUGAAUCGCCACGUGUCGCGCAUCGGGCACCUAGGUACAUUGCACCUAGGUGCAAGAUGGAAAAAACCCCUCCCCUACCUGCCUGCAACAGGGUCUCACCACCCUCUCACUUCCCCAUCAGUUCAGCCAUACCCAAGUACAUCUAACAACUCAAUCAGCCAUUCUAGCCAUCCCCUACACCCUUUAACGUCUCUGCCAGCAACCCCUCCUUUGUAAAUCAAACUAGCCAGAAAUUGUUGCAUCCUCUUCAUUCUUCACUUAAGGACUUCAAGAAUAGCAGGGGGCCUCUAAUCCAUUUCUGCCAAAUUCUCAAGGUAAGCUUGGCUUUAAUGCUUCCACCUUCUUCCAUGAUUUUACCUGCAUCUAUUGGAGAAACAACAACCAUUAAUUUGUCUAAGCUAUUCCAUUCCAGUUAACACCUCAACAGUUGAAGAAGAGAGAGAGAGAGAGAUCAUUUAUUCAAUACUCUGCCAAACUAAAAGGUAAACCUUGCCUUUAAUUCUUCCAUCUGUCCAUGAUUUCUCCCGCAUUCAUUGAGAGGAACCAAUAAUUGGGAUUAUUUCAGAUUAUCUCAGUUUACUCAAUACCACAGCAACAGCCAACCAACACAUUCUCAAGGUAUUUAUACUACCUCAGUUAUCCAAUCCAGUUCGCAUUCAUACCAACGAGCAUAAUCAUGUUUUACCACUACAUCAAACAGUCCAUGUUAUGUACAGCAAUAGAAAGGCUUAUGUGUAUAUUGCCACUGCACUCUAGAACACAAACCAUGAGGACCUCACACAUAGCACAUGAAUGGACGAACAAGGAUAGCGAUAGCAUGCUCACUGACAGAGUGUUAAACCCUGUUUCUUUCUUGCUCAUAGAAGCUUAAGCUUAUCGAUACUCAGACAUGGUGGGAAGGAGACGAGUCAAGGAUAUAACUUAGCUUGAUUGAGAGGGAGCGGGGCUACUGCCCUGCUCAGGAGUCAGGACAUAACUUCAGUCGAGCCGAGACGACGACGUUCGAAUGCUGCCUCGCCGGACUCCAGACUGAGCAACGGCGACGUACCCUCCUCCGACCGAACCCAACAACGACGUGGUCGACUCCGAAGAGGACAACAGCGACGAUUCGUGAAAGGGAAGGACUCCGGCUCGGAGGAGAGAACGAGGCGACGCCGGCCUCACCGAUUCGCAGAAGACGCUGACUCGUCGGCCUCCACCAGCGGCGACGGCAAUUCAGGCAGGGAAGAGCUAGGGCACGUUUCAAAGAAGGGAGAAAUUUGGGGCUUUUUCCCUCCGUCUUCUUCAGAUAUCGAUUGAAGGAGUGUGACACCGUGAUUGAAAGGAGGAGGUGCCGCUCGCCGGAAUUACAGAGACGACGACGGCGGAUUCAGGCGAAGAAGCUCGCCUUCAUGUUCCGCGAUUCCAGAAAUCGAGAGAGUGAGAGAGGUCUGUUUGAGGGUUGUGCUCGGUGACCAAGGGAUGGGAGGCACCGGACUUAGGCGCCACUACAGCCGACGCCGGCCGGAGCAGGGACGGCGAAAUUUCGAGAGGAAUUUGAGGGAGAGAACAGCGUGUUUGAACUAGAGGGAGAGAGAAACCGAGUUUGUUGAGGGAGGAAUUGGGCCUCAUUUUUUAUUUCCUU